RNAcentral lists this long non-coding RNA (1081 nucleotides) under Vitis vinifera (wine grape). Its description in RNAcentral is "long non-coding RNA (VVIN_LNC006348)". The record is from RNAcentral. Lineage: Eukaryota; Viridiplantae; Streptophyta; Magnoliopsida; Vitales; Vitaceae.
UGGUGAUGAGGAUGACCUAAGUCCUAACCAUGGUUGGUGGGUUAGUAGAGAAGAACCCAAGAGACUCAAAAUAUCUCUCAAGGGUUUGAGCUCCAUAUCCAUGAAUGGAGAUCAUAGGAAGUUGGUGAAAAAUGAAAAGGAAAAAUGCACUAUCCCUCCUAUAAGUUUAGUUGGAAAAAGGGGCUGAAACUCCCAAAGUUCAGCCACAAUGAAUGUACAAGAAACUAACAACAAAAGAAAUUAGUGACAUUAUCCCUCCCUUACCCUAAGGGAAGAUGUUUUGGUUGGUUAGACACAGAUUAUGUGAAAUCAUCAGUUGGUAAAAAAAAGAUUUCAAAAGUAAAAACAGUUUUAAAACCCUAAGAUCGAAGACUAGCUUAAUUUGAUGUCAAAACACAAAAAAACUCGGGCGAUCCAUGCCCAUGUUUUCGAUCGCUAAAACUACCUCUACAUCUAGAGGUGAUUAGCUUAAAACCAAAAAAAAAAAGAAAGACAAGAUGGAGGGACUAUCCAUUUUCUUCAAAACUAAUACUGAAGCUCAUUGAGGGCUUGGUAUUUGUGUUGAAUUUACAGUUUUUGCAAGCCAUGUUAAAAGCUUUUAGCCUUUUCCAAAGGCUAAAAUGUCCAAAAGGGGUUGUUUUUCUUAGCCUUUCCAGGGCUAGAAAUGUUGACACAACUUCAGCUAAUUCAAUAGCUUGAGUUGAUGAUGAUGAUAUGUUUAUAUAUAGAUGUACAUGCACAUGAUUCUCUUGAAAGGAACCCUUCUCUUUCAAGGAGAUGCAAAGAAGGAAGAAAGAUGCAUGACUCUCCACAUUUGGAGGUGAUGACUUUAGCCCCUAUGGGGGGCUUUGUGUAUGCGAAAAUGCCGGUAUGCCAAGCAUACAUGGGCUUUGUGUUAGAAGAGAAGAGAUAGAAGAGAAGACAAGAGAGAACCAUGGUUAGGGCAAAGGUUUCUUGAACUUCAGAAGCUGCUGAGGAACUGUGAAGCACUAGGAAGACUUGGGAUGAUCAAUGAAUCUUUAGCGAUUUGAUAUCGGUGCAUGAAGAGCCAUGUUCACGCCUGUGGCACAGCAAAACACAC